GAUGAACGCUAGCGACAGGCUUAACACAUGCAAGUCGAGGGGCAGCAUAAAAGUAGCAAUACUUUGGUGGCGACCGGCGCACGGGUGAGUAACGCGUAUGCAACCUACCUAUCAGAGGGGAAUAACCCGGCGAAAGUCGGACUAAUACCGCAUAAAACAGGGGCACCGCAUGGUGAUAUUUGUUAAAGAAAUUCGCUGAUAGAUGGGCAUGCGUUCCAUUAGGUAGUUGGUGAGGUAACGGCUCACCAAGCCGACGAUGGAUAGGGGAACUGAGAGGUUGGUCCCCCACACUGGUACUGAGACACGGACCAGACUCCUACGGGAGGCAGCAGUGAGGAAUAUUGGUCAAUGGGGCGGGAGCCUGAACCAGCCAAGUCGCGUGAAGGAAGAAGGAUCUAUGGUUCGUAAACUUCUUUUGCAGGGGAAUAAAGUGCAGGACGUGUCCUGUUUUGUAUGUACCCUGAGAAUAAGGAUCGGCUAACUCCGUGCCAGCAGCCGCGGU
Molecule: ribosomal RNA, 502 nt
Filed under: uncultured bacterium
Lineage: Bacteria
Description: bacterial SSU rRNA
Rfam family: Bacterial small subunit ribosomal RNA
Source: RNAcentral